CCUACGGGGGGCUGCAGUGGGGAAUAUUGGACAAUGGGCGAAAGCCUGAUCCAGCCAUGCCGCGUGUGUGAAGAAGGCCUUCGGGUUGUAAAGCACUUUCAGUGGGGAAGAAAGCCUUGGGGCUAAUACCCUCGAGGAAGGACAUCACCCACAGAAGAAGCACCGGCUAACUCCGUGCCAGCAGCCGCGGUAAUACGGAGGGUGCGAGCGUUAAUCGGAAUUACUGGGCGUAAAGCGCGCGUAGGCGGUCUGAUAAGCCGGUUGUGAAAGCCCCGGGCUCAACCUGGGAACGGCAUCCGGAACUGUCAGGCUAGAGUGCAGGAGAGGAAGGUAGAAUUCCCGGUGUAGCGGUGAAAUGCGUAGAGAUCGGGAGGAAUACCAGUGGCGAAGGCGGCCUUCUGGACUGACACUGACGCUGAGGUGCGAAAGCGUGGGUAGCAAACAGGAUUAGAUACCCGAGUAGUC
RNAcentral lists this ribosomal RNA (465 nucleotides) under Vreelandella stevensii. Its description in RNAcentral is "partial 16S ribosomal RNA". It matches the Rfam family "Bacterial small subunit ribosomal RNA", at positions 338 to 795 of the family's 1533-position model. The record is from RNAcentral. Lineage: Bacteria; Pseudomonadati; Pseudomonadota; Gammaproteobacteria; Oceanospirillales; Halomonadaceae.